This 218-nucleotide long non-coding RNA is filed under the name Setaria viridis. Its description in RNAcentral is "long non-coding RNA (SVIR_LNC005365)". The record is from RNAcentral. Lineage: Eukaryota; Viridiplantae; Streptophyta; Magnoliopsida; Poales; Poaceae.
CAAGGGCAAGAUGGAUGAAAUUGAAGAUGGCGAAGACAAGUUCUAGACAGCAUCUAAAACUAUCAACGUCAUUUUUGGUGGAAUUCCAGGAACUGCCUCCAAGCAAUCCAACAAAUUAGUACUUAGAGAAAUCAUGGCUAUCGAACCAGCCACCCCCACACCUCUCAAAUGAUCUGAGGUACCCAUUACCUUCAGUAGAAAGGAUCAAUGGACUAACU